UGGGGAAUAUUGCACAAUGGGCGAAAGCCUGAUGCAGCGACGCCGCGUGAGGGAUGACGGCCUUCGGGUUGUAAACCUCUUUCAGCAGGGACGAAGCGCAAGUGACGGUACCUGCAGAAGAAGCACCGGCUAACUACGUGCCAGCAGCCGCGGUAAUACGUUGGGUGCAAGCGUUGUCCGGAAUUACUGGGCGUAAAGAGUUCGUAGGCGGUUUGUCGCGUCGUUUGUGAAAACCAGCAGCUCAACUGCUGGCUUGCAGGCGAUACGGGCAGACUUGAGUACUGCAGGGGAGACUGGAAUUCCUGGUGUAGCGGUGAAAUGCGCAGAUAUCAGGAGGAACACCGGUGGCGAAGGCGGGUCUCUGGGCAGUAACUGACGCUGAGUAACGAAAGCGUGGGUAGCGAACAGG
RNAcentral lists this ribosomal RNA (409 nucleotides) under Fusobacteriota bacterium. RNAcentral's name for it is "Fusobacteria bacterium partial 16S ribosomal RNA". It matches the Rfam family "Bacterial small subunit ribosomal RNA", at positions 355 to 776 of the family's 1533-position model. The record is from RNAcentral. Lineage: Bacteria; Fusobacteriati; Fusobacteriota.